Molecule: long non-coding RNA, 2370 nt
Organism: Drosophila obscura
Lineage: Eukaryota; Metazoa; Arthropoda; Insecta; Diptera; Drosophilidae
Exons: 5
Source: RefSeq, a predicted model, not a curated record
UUGUAAAUCUUCGCAGUACAUGGAACUAUGAAUUGGCUGUAUAAAUAUCUCUUCUUAGCUUUGAUAUUCACAGGCGCUCAAGCGCUUAGAUUUAACUCCAAAUCUAAACGUUGCAGGGACAACACUGGAGAAUGUAUGUCUCGAUGUCCAGCAAACAUGAAUAGUAUACGUUUCCGAGCGGAAUGUAUGGAGGAUGAAGGCACCCGGACCUUUCUCAAUUGUUGUGUCAAAGAAAUUUUCGGCAAGACCCGACGCAAACAGAAGCGCAAUAUCCAUUAGAUUUCGGACGUCGUUGCUUUCAUUUUGAGCUGGCUAUGUUCAGAUAGCAAACCAUUCGGCUUUAAAUAUUAUGAACAUUUUUGUAAUCUAAAUCCACAAAUGUAACACAAAGAUUAUCUACAAUAAAUACGACUGACGUUCUCUGAUAUAAAAAAAGUUUUUACCUUUCGCAAUGCUUCGACUGUAACGAAUAAAUUUGAUUCCAAGUGUUAUAGAAAAACUAUAAAAGUGUCCCUGAAUCGCCAGUCUUCAAGGUAAAUGGAACCAUGAUUUUGCUGUGUAAAUAUCUCUUCCUAGCUUUGAUAGUGAGCGCCUGUUUGCUCGCCUCCAACGCCUCCAAUCGUUGCAGGGACAACACAGGAUAUUGUAAGGAGAAAUGUCGAAAAGGGAUGAAGUUUAUUCGCAACAGAGGGGAAUGUAUGAAUCAACAAACCAGGGAGAUUCUCCUUUGUUGUAUCAAGGACUUUUAAACAGCUUAGACUGUAAGAACUAGGCCCGUGUUUGAUCGUUUGAAGACGGCACAAGUCGGGCUUAUUUCGACUGUUUAUUUUGUCAUAGCACGCCUACAAAUAUUAACAAAUAAAAAACAAUACAUGUGGUGGCAUUCCAGGCAGAUCAAGUGAAUUCAAAAAUUCCUUUUAACUGUCCGUAUGACAGUCCGUAUGACUCAUUAACUGGCAUGAGAAGAUACCGGCCGAUUGCUGAUUCUGUAACGAUGUUGCUGUAUUAUGAUAUAUUUUUAUCUAUGCUGCUGAGCGCAUUAUAUGUUUAUUUACCGCCUGGUAAGUAAAUAAUACCAAAAUAAAUAGUACGAAAGAAAUACAAUUUUUGUUCCCAGGUUGUGAACGCCACAAAUCAAAAGAUUUUCUACAGUUCAAUGCGAAGAAAGAUAUUUUAAAUAACAAAAGUAUUUUGCUAUAUAAAUAUAUCUCCUUAACUGGAAUAUUGAGAGCGUUGGCCCAAGUGCCGUCCAAUGGCAGCUCAAAGUCCAUCAUCUCACAACCAGAAACAAGAAUCGAUCCCUAAUCUACAAUGCGGUGCAAAUCUCAAAAUUCUAUAGAACUCCACGUUUUUCACACUCUAACUGGUAAUGCCAACUGAAACGAAUGAAUUAAAAUCCAAGUGUUAAAUAAAAACUAAAAACUUGACACUGGAUCGCCAACCUUCAGAGUAUAUGGUAAUAGAUGUUGCUGGAUAAAUAUAUAUUUUUAUCUUUAGUGCUGAGCGCAUUGUUUCACUUCUCAAACGGAAGCAGCAAUUGUUCAACAAAUGGAGGAGGUUGUGAGCCAAUCCCUCCAAAAUGUGUACAUGAUCGACUGACAUUUGAGAACUACGAUUGCGUUGUUAAUACCCACUUUGGAAAGUGAUUUUUUUUCCGAACUGUCGACGUAUACGUAAUAAAAUAAAAAAAAAAUAUAUUAAAAUAUUAUUCAACUUUAAAAUUAAGGUUGUUGGGGAUACAUACAUUGCAUUUAUUUUAUAUAUUCUCAUAGCCAGCAACAAGAGUCGAUCUUUAAUCUAGGAUGCGGUUCAAAGCUCGAAAUUCUAUGGAAUUCCACGAUUGUCACACUCCAACUGGUAAUGUCAACUGAAACGAAUGAAUUAAAUUCCAAGUGUUAAAUAAAAACUAAAAACUUGAUACUGAAUCGCCAAUCUUCAGAGUAAAUGGAAAUAUGAUGUUGCUGGAUAAAUAUAUAUUUUUAUCUUUAGUGCUGAGCGCAUUGUUUUACUUCUCAAACGGAAGCAGGAGUAAAAAAUGAUUAAAUUGUGCAACAAAUGGAGGAGGUUGUGUGCCAAUAUCGGCAGUGCCUAAUCAAUGUGCAGAUACGAACAAACAUCCACAACUGACAUUUGAGUCCCACGAUUGUUCGACCAACGAACUGUGCUGCAUUCACAUAGAUUAAUUCAAGUUGCAACCCAGCAGAUGCCCAACGAUUUUCUCUAGUAAAUACGACUAAAGAUAUCUUAAACAACAAAAUUUACCUUCUUUGAAAAUAUCUCUCCGUAACUCUCUUAUGUUGAGCGCAGUGAUUCCUUUCCCGAACUGUCGACGUAUACGUAAUAAAAUAAAAUAAAAAUAUUAAAAUAUUA